CGCGGUAUGGAGCAGUGGCAGCUCGUCGGGCUCAUAACCCGAAGGUGCCCAAAGGGUGCCCGGUUCGAAUCCAUCUGCCGCUACCA
This 86-nucleotide transfer RNA is filed under the name Chloroflexota bacterium. RNAcentral's name for it is "Chloroflexi bacterium tRNA-Met". It matches the Rfam family "tRNA". From Rfam's summary of the family: Transfer RNA (tRNA) molecules are approximately 80 nucleotides in length. Their secondary structure includes four short double-helical elements and three loops (D, anti-codon, and T loops). Further hydrogen bonds mediate the characteristic L-shaped molecular structure. tRNAs have two regions of fundamental functional importance: the anti-codon, which is responsible for specific mRNA codon recognition, and the 3' end, to which the tRNAs corresponding amino acid is attached (by aminoacyl-tRNA synthetases). tRNAs cope with the degeneracy of the genetic code in two manners: having more than one tRNA (with a specific anti-codon) for a particular amino acid; and 'wobble' base-pairing, i.e. permitting non-standard base-pairing at the 3rd anti-codon position. Lineage: Bacteria; Bacillati; Chloroflexota. The record is from RNAcentral.